CCUACGGGAGGCAGCAGUGGGGAAUAUUGCACAAUGGGGGAAACCCUGAUGCAGCGACGCCGCGUGAAGGAAGAAGUAUUUCGGUAUGUAAACUUCUAUCAGCAGGGAAGAAAAUGACGGUACCUGACUAAGAAGCCCCGGCUAACUACGUGCCAGCAGCCGCGGUAAUACGUAGGGGGCAAGCGUUAUCCGGAUUUACUGGGUGUAAAGGGAGCGUAGGCGGGUUAGCAAGUCAGAAGUGAAAGCCCGGGGCUCAACUCCGGGACUGCUUUUGAAACUGUUGAACUAGAGUGCAGGAGAGGUAAGUGGAAUUCCUAGUGUAGCGGUGAAAUGCGUAGAUAUUAGGAGGAACACCAGUGGCGAAGGCGGCUUACUGGACUGUAAAUGACGCUGAGGCUCGAAAGCGUGGGGAGCAAACAGGAUUAGAUACCCGAGUAGUC
RNAcentral lists this ribosomal RNA (440 nucleotides) under uncultured bacterium. RNAcentral describes it as "partial 16S ribosomal RNA". It matches the Rfam family "Bacterial small subunit ribosomal RNA", at positions 338 to 795 of the family's 1533-position model. The record is from RNAcentral.